Molecule: ribosomal RNA, 641 nt
Filed under: Streptomyces bungoensis
Lineage: Bacteria; Bacillati; Actinomycetota; Actinomycetes; Kitasatosporales; Streptomycetaceae
Description: bacterial SSU rRNA
Rfam family: Bacterial small subunit ribosomal RNA
Source: RNAcentral
AGUGGCGAACGGGUGAGUAACACGUGGGCAAUCUGCCCUUCACUCUGGGACAAGCCCUGGAAACGGGGUCUAAUACCGGAUAUCACUUCCACGGGCAUCUGUGGGGGUUGAAAGCUCCGGCGGUGAAGGAUGAGCCCGCGGCCUAUCAGCUUGUUGGUGAGGUAAUGGCUCACCAAGGCGACGACGGGUAGCCGGCCUGAGAGGGCGACCGGCCACACUGGGACUGAGACACGGCCCAGACUCCUACGGGAGGCAGCAGUGGGGAAUAUUGCACAAUGGGCGAAAGCCUGAUGCAGCGACGCCGCGUGAGGGAUGACGGCCUUCGGGUUGUAAACCUCUUUCAGCAGGGAAGAAGCGAAAGUGACGGUACCUGCAGAAGAAGCGCCGGCUAACUACGUGCCAGCAGCCGCGGUAAUACGUAGGGCGCAAGCGUUGUCCGGAAUUAUUGGGCGUAAAGAGCUCGUAGGCGGCUUGUCACGUCGGGUGUGAAAGCCCGGGGCUUAACCCCGGGUCUGCAUUCGAUACGGGCAGGCUAGAGUGUGGUAGGGGAGAUCGGAAUUCCUGGUGUAGCGGUGAAAUGCGCAGAUAUCAGGAGGAACACCGGUGGCGAAGGCGGAUCUCUGGGCCAUUACUGACGCUGA